GGCGGCGUGCUUAACACAUGCAAGUCGAACGAUGAAGGGAGCUUGCUCCUGGAUUAGUGGCGAACGGGUGAGUAACACGUGAGUAACCUGCCCUUGACUCUGGGAUAAGCCUGGGAAACUGGGUCUAAUACCGGAUAUGACCUUCCAUCGCAUGGUGGUUGGUGGAAAGCUUUUGUGGUUUUGGAUGGACUCGCGGCCUAUCAGCUUGUUGGUGGGGUAAUGGCCUACCAAGGCGACGACGGGUAGCCGGCCUGAGAGGGUGACCGGCCACACUGGGACUGAGACACGGCCCAGACUCCUACGGGAGGCAGCAGUGGGGAAUAUUGCACAAUGGGCGCAAGCCUGAUGCAGCGACGCCGCGUGAGGGAUGACGGCCUUCGGGUUGUAAACCUCUUUCAGUAGGGAAGAAGCGAAAGUGACGGUACCUGCAGAAGAAGCGCCGGCUAACUACGUGCCAGCAGCCGCGGUAAUACGUAGGGCGCAAGCGUUAUCCGGAAUUAUUGGGCGUAAAGAGCUCGUAGGCGGUUUGUCGCGUCUGCCGUGAAAGUCCGGGGCUCAACUCCGGAUCUGCGGUGGGUACGGGCAGACUAGAGUGAUGUAGGGGAGACUGGAAUUCCUGGUGUAGCGGUGAAAUGCGCAGAUAUCAGGAGGAAC
RNAcentral lists this ribosomal RNA (654 nucleotides) under Pseudarthrobacter sp. Its description in RNAcentral is "bacterial SSU rRNA". It matches the Rfam family "Bacterial small subunit ribosomal RNA", at positions 38 to 707 of the family's 1533-position model. Lineage: Bacteria; Bacillati; Actinomycetota; Actinomycetes; Micrococcales; Micrococcaceae. The record is from RNAcentral.